RNAcentral lists this ribosomal RNA (431 nucleotides) under bacterium. RNAcentral's name for it is "partial 16S ribosomal RNA". It matches the Rfam family "Bacterial small subunit ribosomal RNA", at positions 355 to 776 of the family's 1533-position model. The record is from RNAcentral.
UGGGGAAUUGUUCGCAAUGGGCGCAAGCCUGACGACGCAACGCCGCGUGGAGGAUGAAGACCUUCGGGUCGUAAACUCCUUUCGAUCGAGACGAAUGGCCUCCGGGUGAAUAAUCCGGAGGAGUGACGGUACCGAGAGAAGAAGCCCCGGCUAACUCCGUGCCAGCAGCCGCGGUAAUACGGGGGGGGGCAAGCGUUGUUCGGAAUUACUGGGUGUAAAGGGCUCGUAGGUGGCCAACUAAGUCAGACGUGAAAUCCCUCGGCUUAACCGGGGAACUGCAUCUGAUACUGGAUGGCUUGAGUUUGGGAGAGGGACGCGGAAUUCCAGGUGUAGCGGUGAAAUGCGUAGAUAUCUGGAGGAACACCGGUGGCGAAGGCGGCGUCCUGGACCAAUACUGACACUGAUGAGCGAAAGCCAGGGGAGCAAACGGG